RNAcentral lists this unclassified non-coding RNA (274 nucleotides) under uncultured fungus. RNAcentral describes it as "partial contains small subunit ribosomal RNA, internal transcribed spacer 1, and 5.8S ribosomal RNA". The stretch from base 1 to 73 matches the Rfam family "Eukaryotic small subunit ribosomal RNA", at positions 1759 to 1831 of the family's 1831-position model. Lineage: Eukaryota; Fungi. The record is from RNAcentral.
UCAAACUUGGUCAUUUAGAGGAAGUAAAAGUCGUAACAAGGUCUCCGUUGGUGAACCAGCGGAGGGAUCAUUACAGAGAAUCUCUUCUCACAAACCAUCGCGAACGCUACCCUCGAUCGUUGCCUCGGCGGCGGCGCCCACAAGCGCCGGCUGCCGGGGGGACGCAACCCAAACCCUUUUUGCAGUCGUUGGCCUCUCUGAGUUGUACGAUUCUAAAUCAGUCAAAACUUUCAACAACGGAUCUCUUGGUUCUGGCAUCGAUGAAGAACGCAGC